AGCAGUAUUAUAGUAGUUAUAUUCUUGUAUAUAGGAGCAGUAUUAUAGUAGUUAUAUUCUUGUAUAUAGGAGCAGUAUUAUAGUAGUUAUAUUCUUGUAUAUAGGAGCAGUAUUAUAGUAGUUAUAUUCUUGUAUAUAGGAGCAGUAUUAUAGUAUUUAUAGUCUUGUACAUAGGGGGGCAGUAUGCUGUAACCACAACUCACUGUUCCUUAAUGUCCCAAUAAAUAUAUAUAUGUGUAUAUGCCAGAGAUGGUGCGUAGCUGUAGGACAGAGGUGAUGACAAUACUCAGGACUUGAGCUCAGAGACAAGAUCCAGCAGUGUUUACUGAGACAACAGAAGAUUGUGUUCUCUCAGCAGCCAGGGAACGGCUGAGAUAACACCACACUGACAUUGAGAGGACUACACAACUUCCUGUCAGGGGGAGAAGAACGGGACGGGUCUAGACGACCGUAUGAACGCAGCCUAAGCUGGAAACAAGAUGCCCGCAGCAGCUGUGUCAGGCUCCACGGCUGGAUGAAGCAGAAUAUGCACGGAGCCGCGACCUUUAGACCUAGGACGCUCAGAAAAUUGACAGCUGUUGGCUGUCCGGGCAUGCUGGGAAUUGUAGUUUUGCAACAGCUGGAGGAACUCUUGGUGACGUGUGACCCUUUUGUAUUUGCAGAACAAUCUGUGAAGAAUUUCCAUUAACAAUCGUGCAAUUCUUCAUGCACAAUGAAGGGAUACUUCUGUGGUGAAACAUAAUUACAAAAGUUAAAAAAAAUAAUAAUAAAUAAUACAAAGAACAAUAUACUUCAACCCUGAAUACUGUAACUUGGCAUGUGCCGGAAUUCUCUGCAGCGCCCAAUAGAUCCUAUGUGUAUGAUUUAGGGGGCACCCCGGCAACCCCUUUUAGAUGUCUACCUAUCUAUCCUGCAACCAC
Molecule: long non-coding RNA, 920 nt
Organism: Hyla sarda
Lineage: Eukaryota; Metazoa; Chordata; Amphibia; Anura; Hylidae
Exons: 4
Source: RefSeq, a predicted model, not a curated record